RNAcentral lists this ribosomal RNA (292 nucleotides) under uncultured bacterium. Its description in RNAcentral is "partial 16S ribosomal RNA". It matches the Rfam family "Bacterial small subunit ribosomal RNA", at positions 331 to 642 of the family's 1533-position model. The record is from RNAcentral.
CCGGACCUACGGGGGGCAGCAGUGGGGAAUAUUGCACAAUGGGGGAAACCCUGAUGCAGCGACGCCGCGUGAAGGACGAAGCAUUUCUGUACGUAAACUUCUAUCUGCAGGGAAGAAAAUGACGGUACCUGACCAAGAAGCCCCGGCUAACUACGUGCCAGCAGCCGCGGUAAUCCGUAGGGGGCAAGCGUUAUCCGGAUUUACUGGGUGUAAUGGGAGCGUAGACGGCCGUGCAAGUCUGAUGUGAAAACCCGGGGCUCAACCCCGGGACUGCAUUGGAAACUGCAUGUCU